GUAGUCCAUGCCGUAAACGUUGGGCGCUAGGUGUGGGGCUCAUUCCACGAGUUCCGUGCCGCAGCAAACGCAUUAAGCGCCCCGCCUGGGGAGUACGGCCGCAAGGCUAAAACUCAAAGGAAUUGACGGGGGCCCGCACAAGCGGCGGAGCAUGCGGAUUAAUUCGAUGCAACGCGAAGAACCUUACCAAGGCUUGACAUACAGAGUAAACCGGCAGAAACGUCGGGUCCGCAAGGGAUUCUGUACAGGUGGUGCAUGGUUGUCGUCAGCUCGUGUCGUGAGAUGUUGGGUUAAGUCCCGCAACGAGCGCAACCCUCGUUCUAUGUUGCCAGCACGUAAUGGUGGGGACUCAUAGGAGACUGCCGGGGUCAACUCGGA
Molecule: ribosomal RNA, 378 nt
Filed under: uncultured bacterium
Lineage: Bacteria
Description: bacterial SSU rRNA
Rfam family: Bacterial small subunit ribosomal RNA
Source: RNAcentral